RNAcentral lists this microRNA precursor (70 nucleotides) under Paramuricea clavata. The record is from RNAcentral. Lineage: Eukaryota; Metazoa; Cnidaria; Anthozoa; Malacalcyonacea; Plexauridae.
CAAGCAAUGCUUGCCACACUCAUUAGGUGAAUUUAAAAUCACCUGAUGAGUGUGGCAAGCAUUGCUUGUC